GGCGGAGUCUGGGCGCGCUGGCAGGAGGCCAGGAUCCCCGCUGCUCCAGGCCCGGGCCUGCCCGGCAGCGCCUUCUGCUGGCCGGAGCCGCCGCUGCGGGCGCCCUGCCUGAAGCCGAGCCAUGAGCCUGGGGCUGGGGGUCCAGCCUUCCUUGGGUCUGCAGUUCUUUGGGGACAGGCAUACAUGCUUGGAUUGAACCACCCACGAUGAGAGGCUCACCCUUGCACUGAGAGGAGGGCCUAUCCUACAGGAAAAGGGGGCCGAUCUCUCGAAAAUGUCAACGAGAGGGCUGAGGCUGGACUUAAGGGGGCGAGGCAGGAAGAGGGGAGCCAAGAUUUGGAAGUUAUGGUGGAGUUUGAGAGAGUGCGGGCAUGCUGGAGAAUCAUCAGUAUAUUUGUAUGCUGUCUUUGGCGAGGAGGGCCCCUGUGGAAUCGUGAUCUCUAUCCCCGAUACAUAGUCUGCCUCACUGGUCUACCUUGUUCUCCUGCACCCUGGUUGUCAGCACCCUGGUGUACAAAUACAUCUUCCUUGGUGUCAUUCCUGUUGAUGAAACUAUAUCCGUUCCUUACACCGAACCAUUUUACUGUUCCCAAAACCUUCGUUGCGAUGACCUUCUUGUCCCCGCCGGCAGGUGCCACCGAUGUGAGGCUGCCUGGGCCACCACU
RNAcentral lists this long non-coding RNA (665 nucleotides) under Saimiri boliviensis boliviensis (Bolivian squirrel monkey). Its description in RNAcentral is "lncRNA (ENSSBOG00000036774.1)". Lineage: Eukaryota; Metazoa; Chordata; Mammalia; Primates; Cebidae. The record is from RNAcentral.